GAUCAUGGCUCAGGAUGAACGCUAGCUACAGGCUUAACACAUGCAAGUCGAGGGGCAGCAUGAACUUUAGCUUGCUAAGUUUGAUGGCGACCGGCGCACGGGUGAGUAACACGUAUCCAACCUUCCCGUUACUCUGGGAUAGGCCUUUCGAAAGAAAGAUUAAUACCGGAUAGUAUCGAGAGAUUGCAUGAUAACCCGAUUAAAGAUUUAUCGGUAACGGGAAUGGGGAUGCGUUCCAUUAG
Molecule: ribosomal RNA, 242 nt
Filed under: uncultured bacterium
Lineage: Bacteria
Description: partial 16S ribosomal RNA
Rfam family: Bacterial small subunit ribosomal RNA
Source: RNAcentral